This is a long non-coding RNA of Planococcus citri (citrus mealybug), 897 nucleotides long. RefSeq lists it as uncharacterized. The record is from RefSeq and is a predicted model, not a curated record. The transcript has 2 exons. Lineage: Eukaryota; Metazoa; Arthropoda; Insecta; Hemiptera; Pseudococcidae.
UUGACACAAUUUCCAUGGAAAUAGUCGAAAUAUCACUCUAGGGUGUCUUUCGUUUAUCAAUUUAGUACUACGUAUUUACCAUAAAUACCUAUUUGAAAACUCACAGCUCACAUCGAGGAACUGCUGUUUCAAACUUUUGCAAACAAUACAACCGUAUCAAGACUGAAAACAUUGAAAAUGUGAUAAAGAAAAACGACGAUAAAAAAACACACUUCGGUCAUACAUAUUUCUUCUUCAAUGUCCAAUACGCAUAUACGAGCAGAGCUUCGAUACUUCAAAAACUUCUACGUGGAUUUAAAAUACCUACUAAAUUCGUUAUUUCUGCGAGCCAAAUAAUUGCUCGGUGAUUUCAAUACAGAUAAAGCCAAAAAUCAAAAGAUCAUCAUGAAUUUCCUGUUCUUGAUUUUAUUUUUAUUCGUCGCUUACGCGGUGUCUUUCCUUACAAUGGCUGUGAUGAAUGCUUAUGGCGAUUCCUCGAUAUGACGAUUCCAAUACACGAACGACCAUCCUGCUGUUAUCGACAUGAAACUGCAAAUUGCUACACCCAUCGGCUGUAUAAACACUUUUCAUCUAUUACGACGACGAUUUAUAGAGGAAAAAUUUGAAAAAACACGUGACGUAAACAGGUAGAUCAUAUCGCCGAUACCCUCAGGCUUCAACUACAUGUAUACACUGUGCAGUAAAUGGUAAAUUAAUAUAAACGAAUGAAAAAACAUGGGAAUUGGGAGGGAUAUAUAGAAACAUGAAAUUUCCUGACAACAAAAGCAGUCCGAAUCAUUUUUUUUUUUUUUUUUUUUUCUAAACUAGAACACGAAAAGUUAUUUGUAUUAAACGAUUGCACAUUGUACCUAAAACUAUAACAAAAAAUAUAUUUGCACACGUUUGUGUUUUUUUUCA